GGCGCGGUGGCGGAACUGGCAGACGCGCACGACUCAAAAUCGUGUGGUUUUAUUACCAUGUGGGUUCGAUUCCCUCCCGCGCCA
Molecule: transfer RNA, 84 nt
Filed under: Patescibacteria group bacterium
Lineage: Bacteria
Also listed under: 1 other name
Description: tRNA-Leu
Rfam family: tRNA
About the family: Transfer RNA (tRNA) molecules are approximately 80 nucleotides in length. Their secondary structure includes four short double-helical elements and three loops (D, anti-codon, and T loops). Further hydrogen bonds mediate the characteristic L-shaped molecular structure. tRNAs have two regions of fundamental functional importance: the anti-codon, which is responsible for specific mRNA codon recognition, and the 3' end, to which the tRNAs corresponding amino acid is attached (by aminoacyl-tRNA synthetases). tRNAs cope with the degeneracy of the genetic code in two manners: having more than one tRNA (with a specific anti-codon) for a particular amino acid; and 'wobble' base-pairing, i.e. permitting non-standard base-pairing at the 3rd anti-codon position.
Source: RNAcentral